This 790-nucleotide ribosomal RNA is filed under the name uncultured bacterium. RNAcentral's name for it is "bacterial SSU rRNA". It matches the Rfam family "Bacterial small subunit ribosomal RNA", at positions 8 to 795 of the family's 1533-position model. The record is from RNAcentral.
AGAGUUUGAUCCUGGCUCAGAUUGAACGCUGGCGGCAUGCCUUACACAUGCAAGUCGAACGGCAGCGCGGGGCAACCUGGCGGCGAGUGGCGAACGGGUGAGUAAUAUAUCGGAACGUGCCCUGGAGUGGGGGAUAACGCAGCGAAAGUUGCGCUAAUACCGCAUAUGAUCUAAGGAUGAAAGCAGGGGACCGCAAGGCCUUGUGCUCCUGGAGCGGCCGAUAUCUGAUUAGCUAGUUGGUGGGGUAAAGGCCUACCAAGGCAUCGAUCAGUAGCUGGUCUGAGAGGACGACCAGCCACACUGGAACUGAGACACGGUCCAGACUCCUACGGGAGGCAGCAGUGGGGAAUUUUGGACAAUGGGCGCAAGCCUGAUCCAGCAAUGCCGCGUGAGUGAAGAAGGCCUUCGGGUUGUAAAGCUCUUUUGUCAGGGAAGAAACGGUAUGGGCUAAUAUCCCGUACUAAUGACGGUACCUGAAGAAUAAGCACCGGCUAACUACGUGCCAGCAGCCGCGGUAAUACGUAGGGUGCAAGCGUUAAUCGGAAUUACUGGGCGUAAAGCGUGCGCAGGCGGUUUUGUAAGUCUGAUGUGAAAUCCCCGGGCUCAACCUGGGAAUUGCAUUGGAGACUGCAAGGCUAGAAUCUGGCAGAGGGGGGUAGAAUUCCACGUGUAGCAGUGAAAUGCGUAGAGAUGUGGAGGAACACCGAUGGCGAAGGCAGCCCCCUGGGUCAAGAUUGACGCUCAUGCACGAAAGCGUGGGGAGCAAACAGGAUUAGAUACCCUGGUAGUC